UUCCGUUCUGUGCAGAAGCGGAUCGUCGGCGGGAGCCGGGAGACGGAUAUUUGCCUGCGCGCAAAGAUAUCAAAUCCCCUCCGAGCAUCUCCAGCAGGUGGAGGUUCCGUGCACCGGGGCCUGAGUGUUCAAGAAGACGACAAUCAACAAUCAUCAGUCACAGUCAGAAUGGACACAGGAAAGCCCUUAACGUGGGUGCGAAAUGUACUCAAGAGACUUUUUCCAGGCAGCUCAUCGAGGGAAGAUGAUCGGGUUACGGGAAGCAAGGUACCAAGGCAGGCACCAAUAGAAAGCGGUCCGGCCGCACUGGAGGAGGAGCAAAGUCAGCCCAGAGACAGUGACGUCAGAGACACUGAGCAGGACCCUGGAA
Hypanus sabinus (Atlantic stingray) is the source of this 370-nucleotide long non-coding RNA. RefSeq lists it as uncharacterized. The transcript has 3 exons. The record is from RefSeq and is a predicted model, not a curated record. NCBI's taxonomy places the organism in Eukaryota, Metazoa, Chordata, Chondrichthyes, Myliobatiformes, Dasyatidae.